Molecule: unclassified non-coding RNA, 243 nt
Filed under: Hevea brasiliensis (rubber tree)
Lineage: Eukaryota; Viridiplantae; Streptophyta; Magnoliopsida; Malpighiales; Euphorbiaceae
Source: RNAcentral
GCGUAUAUAUACAGCAAAAGAGUGAGCACAUGUCUGUGACUGUACACAAAACUUGCAGGCCUGAAAAAAUAGCUAACAAGCCGAACUCUUUUCUUUAUCGUGUUUAUACAAUAAAUGAGUUCAGGGCACGUCUCUGAGCAAAACCUGCAGGAAGUUUUCCAUUCUCGUGUACCCAAAACUUACAGUGCUGCAAUGCGAUUAAAUUAACACAUUGGACAAGGAUACGGUAGCAGGGAUCAAUCA